RNAcentral lists this ribosomal RNA (653 nucleotides) under Trichoderma longibrachiatum. RNAcentral describes it as "eukaryotic LSU rRNA". The stretch from base 280 to 433 matches the Rfam family "5.8S ribosomal RNA". The record is from RNAcentral. Lineage: Eukaryota; Fungi; Ascomycota; Sordariomycetes; Hypocreales; Hypocreaceae.
UGGAAGUAAAAAUCGUAACAAGGUCUCCGUUGGUGAACCAGCGGAGGGAUCAUUACCGAGUUUACAACUCCCAAACCCCAAUGUGAACGUUACCAAUCUGUUGCCUCGGCGGGAUUCUCUUGCCCCGGGCGCGUCGCAGCCCCGGAUCCCAUGGCGCCCGCCGGAGGACCAACUCCAAACUCUUUUUUUCUCUCCGUCGCGGCUCCCGUCGCGGCUCUGUUUUAUUUUUGCUCUGAGCCUUUCUCGGCGACCCUAGCGGGCGUCUCGAAAAUGAAUCAAAACUUUCAACAACGGAUCUCUUGGUUCUGGCAUCGAUGAAGAACGCAGCGAAAUGCGAUAAGUAAUGUGAAUUGCAGAAUUCAGUGAAUCAUCGAAUCUUUGAACGCACAUUGCGCCCGCCAGUAUUCUGGCGGGCAUGCCUGUCCGAGCGUCAUUUCAACCCUCGAACCCCUCCGGGGGGUCGGCGUUGGGGAUCGGCCCCUCACCGGGCCGCCCCCGAAAUACAGUGGCGGUCUCGCCGCAGCCUCUCCUGCGCAGUAGUUUGCACACUCGCACCGGGAGCGCGGCGCGGCCACAGCCGUAAAACACCCCAAACUUCUGAAAUGUUGACCUCGGAUCAGGUAGGAAUACCCGCUGAACUUAAGCAUAUCAUA